UACAGAGGUCUCGAGCGUUGUUCGGAUUCAUUGGGCGUAAAGGGUGCGUAGGUGGCGCUGUAAGUCGGGUGUGAAAUCCUGAGGCUUAACCUCGGAACUGCAUUCGAUACUGCGGGGCUUGAGGACUGGAGAGGAGACUGGAAUUCAUGGUGUAGCAGUGAAAUGCGUAGAGAUCAUGAGGAAGACCAGUGGCGAAGGCGGGUCUCUGGACAGUUCCUGACACUGAGGCACGAAGGCCAGGGGAGCAAACGGG
This 253-nucleotide ribosomal RNA is filed under the name uncultured bacterium. RNAcentral describes it as "partial 16S ribosomal RNA". It matches the Rfam family "Bacterial small subunit ribosomal RNA", at positions 524 to 776 of the family's 1533-position model. The record is from RNAcentral.